Molecule: ribosomal RNA, 428 nt
Filed under: uncultured bacterium
Lineage: Bacteria
Description: partial 16S ribosomal RNA
Rfam family: Bacterial small subunit ribosomal RNA
Source: RNAcentral
GUAGGGAAUAUUGGACAAUGGGGGCAACCCUGACGCAGCGACGCCGCGUGAGUGAUGAAGGCCUUCGGGUCGUAAAGCUCUGUUGCAGGGGAAUAAAAAAAUGAAGGUACCCUGUGAGGAAGGAUCGGCUAACUUCGUGCCAGCAGCCGCGGUAAGACGAGGGAUCCUAGCGUUGCUCGGAAUCAUUGGGCGUAAAGAGGGCGUAGGUGGCUUGGUAAGUCAGGUGUGAAAGCCCAGGGCUCAACCCUGGAAGUGCAUUUGAUACUGCUGAGCUUGAGUGUCGGAGAGGUUACCGGAAUACCUGGUGUAGUGGUGAAAUACGUAGAUAUCAGGUGGAACACCGGAGGCGAAGGCGGGUAACUGGACGAACACUGACACUGAGGCCCGAAAGCGUGGGGAUCAAACAGGAUUAGAAACCCCGGUAGUCC